RNAcentral lists this unclassified non-coding RNA (805 nucleotides) under Leishmania donovani. RNAcentral's name for it is "gene:unknown". Lineage: Eukaryota; Euglenozoa; Kinetoplastea; Trypanosomatida; Trypanosomatidae. The record is from RNAcentral.
UAUCAUUGGCAUUGACUGUUCACCGAGGACACGCGCUCCAAUAUCCGCAACGGCACCCGGAAGCGCACGGGGCCGUUUGAGUGGCCUGCUUCUUGUGCUUUCUGCAUACUUGAAUACACCUUCACACUCACGGAGACAGCAACAGCACGACACACACACACACACACACACACACAUACACACAAACAGUCACGAAGCGAAGCCGAGGAACGUGAAGGGAACACCUUUCUCACAGGGGGCGUGGCGGAUACGCAGCGGUCCUGAUUGUUUAGCGCUAGCGGUGGCGCGUUGCCGGUGCCCGCGCAUUGCGUACGCCUUCUUUGGUUUCUCGAAGGUAUUUGUCUCUCUUCUUCGUCCACUGGCGUUCUCUCUUCCAGCGCACAGAGGGACGCGCGCGCGUUGUGAGUGAGUGUGUGUGUGAGACGGUGUUGUAUUUGUCCGCAAGGUCAGCUCCAGCUGCUUCCCUCUUUUUUCCCAUUUUGAUGCCUUCCUUUCAUCAUUGUACGACGUCAUCUGCGUUGGGCGACUUCUUCUUCUCUCUCUGUUGUUGUUCGUAGAGGCAAAGAGGAUAAAGCGCGGUCACACGUUCCGCGUGUGUCUUGCUUGCCUGCGUCUCUGCAUGUGCAGGCGCGCCCGCGUCGCGGUGGCCGUCCCCCGGUAGCUCGGAACAGCGUGAGGGAAGAGAGGGCGCAGGGGCACUCGUCAACGGGUGCGUGCCUUUGCUGCCUCCCUCCCCCCUCCUCUCACUCACUCAUCUUAGCUGCUCGACCAUCUUUCCUGUGCUCCUCGUGUGAGCCACAACAAG